UUCUAUGGUUUCUCUCCAGUAUGACAUCUAUAAUGACAUACAAGAUUUGCUUUUUGACUAAAAACCUUGCCACAUUCAUUACAUGUGUAAGGUUUCUUUCCAUUAUGAAAUGCCUUAUGCAUUACAAGACCUGAAUUUUGAGCAAAGGUCUUGCCACACUUAUUACACUUGUAAGGUUUCUCCCCAGUAUGAACUCUCUGAUGUUGUGCAAGGCAUGAAUCAUGCCAGAAAACCUUGUCACAAACCUUACACUCAUAAGGUUUCCCUCCAGUAUGAACUCUUCAGGUGUGAAAGGCAUGAAUUAUCCCAGAAAGCCUUGUGACAAACCUUACAUUUGUAUGGUUUUUCUCCAGUAUGAAUUCUCCUAUGUGUUUCAAGUUGUGAUCUGCAACUGUAAACUUUGUCACAUUCUUCUCAUUUGUAAGGUUUC
This 430-nucleotide long non-coding RNA is filed under the name Homo sapiens (human). RNAcentral's name for it is "non-protein coding lnc-PITX2-2:3". Lineage: Eukaryota; Metazoa; Chordata; Mammalia; Primates; Hominidae. The record is from RNAcentral.